Molecule: long non-coding RNA, 2502 nt
Organism: Bradysia coprophila
Lineage: Eukaryota; Metazoa; Arthropoda; Insecta; Diptera; Sciaridae
Source: RefSeq, a predicted model, not a curated record
UGUUCGUUAAAACUUCAAAGUGAGGUUGUGUUGGCUUAUCUGUGGAUGACGAUUGACAUUUUGAACGGCCUUGGGAGAGACCUAUUUGAAAGAUGCAGCAUAAUUAUCGAUCUCAACAAUGGAAAAUUGGUCGUAUAUGUGUUUUCGGCCCUAAUGCUCUCUCCUUCACAUUAACAUUCCCAUGCAACUUCACAUUCACUGCCGGGUAUCAAUCCACGCGUUUAUAAAUUUAUACCAGAAUGCUUGCCACGAAUAUAUUCGUAGAAUCAAGAGAUCUCAAUCCGUUGAAAUUCACAAGCAUCAACAGUCUUUGCUCUGUUUCUAUCUUCUAUUGAGUAUGGUCGAAUUGCAUGCACCAUGGUUUCAAGGGGCCACGCUUGUUUUUUGACGCUCUCCACAUCUACGUUCAUUUUUUCCCUAUACUUUCUUAACAUUGUUCGUCCGAUUUUGUCGAUCUUAUAGUCGACCCCAUAGUUACGGACCUGUUUGAAGCGGCAAAAACUUUUUAUUGCGAAACAAUUGUGUCAAACUGUAAGAAAUCCAGAAGUUUUCACAUGCAUCAGUAAGUUGAGACGUCAACUUGUUACGGCAAAGCACAGUACGGACAUGGUUCAAAAUUGUCAUUUUGACUAGUGAGGAUGACAGAUGAACAUGAAAACUAACUUGGAUACCGAAUAUGGAUUGAAUAAAGAGAAUUGGAUUGCAAUUGUGACUUCCUUCAUUUCUCCUAUCGUAUUCCGAAUAUCUAUUCUCUCUAUUUUUAUAGCAAUUCUUUCAUUUCAUUAAUCUUUCAUUAUACAUGUUCAUUAUAGAUCAUCUUCAAGAUACAGUACUUUCAGACAUAACCUUACUUUAGUUUCGUUAAAUGUUUCGUUUAUUCAUUCAUUUGUACGAGAUUUUUUUAACGUGGAUGGCAUUUCUUGACGUGGAUGUCAUUUCAAACGGCCUUGAAGAUGAUCUAUACAGUACUCGUCAACACUGCGUGCAAAUCGAUAGUUAAAUUCUUUCGACAUACGACAUGUGUCACAACUGGGAUCGUAUCUGCCGAUUGGAAGGUCAUGAAAAUGAUGUAUGGAGAAAUGAGAGACAAACGAGAAAUAUGAAUUGAUAAAGCUCAAAACACACGAUGAGCCUAAUGCAGCGGCACUUUCAAGUGUUCGUUGGUGUAAAUGUUAAAAAUUCCUAAAAUCUUCAAACUUAUGUUUUUUAAAGAUUUUAACAAUUGAAAUUCCGAAUAACAGGACCUGCCAAAUAAUGUCGGCCAAAAAAGAUUUACCAUUCGGUUUCGCAUGUCUUCAAUUUGCUUUAACUUACCAUUAAAUUAUAGGGUCCACACUAAAAUACUAUGUGCAAACUGUGUUAUGAAAAAGUCGUUUAUUAAUUGAUUAAAUAUUUUUAUUAUAUAAGUAAAGUAACAUCUUCGUAAAUCCGUAUGUAAGGGGUCAUUCACAAAUUACGCACGCCGAAAAUUAAGAAUUUCAGACAUCCUGUCCCCUACGUACGCAAGAAUGUAUGGAGAAAAUUAGAGGGUGCGUAAUUUGUGAAUGCCCCCAAAGUAGUGAUGUGAUUGUGUAAGUGGGCCAGCUGUUAAACAAGCUGAAUCAAACGCAGCCACAAUUUUGGUUGACAGUAACUGUAAUUAAAAAAAAGACAUUCGAAAUAUACGCCAGAGGAUUGUGUUUAAAAGGAAAAAGAAAAAUGGAAUUUACUUACUUGAUACCCAUCAUUAAUAUAUAAAUGCAAAGACAAUUCGUUCUUCCACAUCAAAGUCCCAAACAUUCUUUUCUUUCACUAAUUCAUAACAGUUCAUUUUUAGAAUUUUUAAACGAAACAUUCACAGUAAGAUAGCCUUUUCAAACUGUUGUUGUAGGUUAAUUUAUUUCGCUCUCUAACGGAACACCAACCUCUUCUUCUUUUCAAGAGAACGAGUUUGGGAAUUUGCGUCGGUUUCACACAAAUUUUCGCUGCUAUGUUGAAGCGGGAAAAGUGGCCUAUCACCAAAGCACCAAAGCUGAGAGUCACGUCAGUCAAAUAAAGGGUUAGAGUGGCUUUAUACAAACUGUCAACUAAAAUACAAAAAAAAGCUAAUAAAACGGAGACGUAAACGGAGUGCACUUACAACUUAAUCCGUACUUCACUCUAUUUACUCGUCGUUUAUGUUACAACAAUCUAUCCGUUUGUAUUGUUUUUUUGAAAAAUCAGUGAGUUAACGUAGUUAAAUGCGGGUUCAGAGUUGAUUGAUUUUUGCUCCCUAUUUGACUUAUGUGACUCUUUGCUUCAGUACUAGAGAAAAAGCAUUGUUUUGUGUCAUUUUUUCCGCUUCACUCGGAGGUGUAUAUUUAGCUUAAUGGAAAAUAUAUGUUCUAAUAUGUUCGAAUAUCCAAGCUCGUUUUCUUAAAGUUAGAAUACUUAAAUUAGAAAAAGGAACUUCUUUAGCUUAAUAUUUACACUGUAUGCACAUGAUAAAUAGUUCGCCAAAAAUAAAUUAUUUUUUAUUGAAAA